Molecule: ribosomal RNA, 477 nt
Filed under: uncultured bacterium
Lineage: Bacteria
Description: partial 16S ribosomal RNA
Rfam family: Bacterial small subunit ribosomal RNA
Source: RNAcentral
GAUUAACGCUGGCGGCGUGCAUAACACAUGCAAGUCGAACGAUGAAACUUAAAUGAUUUCUUCGGAAUGAACUUAAGUGGAUUAGUGGCGGACGGGUGAGUAACGCGUGAGUAACCUGCCUUACACAAGGGGAUAGCCGUUGGAAACGACGAAUAAUACCCUAUGAAACUAUCACUUCGCAUGAAGCGAUAGUCAAAGUGUUAGCGGUGUAAGAUGGACUUGCGUCUGAUUAGCUAGUUGGUGAGAAAAAAGCCCACCAAGGCAACGAUCAGUAGCCGGCUUGAGAGAGUGUACGGCCACAUUGGGACUGAGACAAGGCCCAGACUCCUACGGGAGGCAGCAGUGGGGAAUUUUGCACAAUGGGGGAAACCCUGAUGCAGCGACGCCGCGUGAUUUAGAAGGCCUUCGGGUUGUAAAAAUCUUUUGUAUAGGAAGAAAAUGACAGUACUAUACGAAUAAGGUCCGGCUAAUUACGUG